GGCCCUGUGGUGAAAUUCAUGGUGGGUUGCAAGCUCGCAGAUGUACGUUAGUGACGUACCGGGGUCU
RNAcentral lists this transfer RNA (67 nucleotides) under Dicaeum agile (Thick-billed flowerpecker). RNAcentral's name for it is "tRNA-Cys". Lineage: Eukaryota; Metazoa; Chordata; Aves; Passeriformes; Dicaeidae. The record is from RNAcentral.